GACGAACGCUGGCGGCGUGCUUAACACAUGCAAGUCGAGCGGUAAGGCCCUUUCGGGGGUACGACGAGCGGCGAACGGGUGAGUAACACGUGGGUGACCUGCCCUCAGCUCUGGGAUAAGCCUGGGAAACCGGGUCUAAUACUGGAUAUGACUCCAUGACGCAUGUUGUGGGGUGGAAAGCCUUGUGCGGCUGAGGAUGGGCCCGCGGCCUAUCAGCUUGUUGGUGGGGUGANGGGCCUACCAAGGCGACGACGGGUAGCCGGCCUGAGAGGGCGACCGGCCACACUGGGACUGAGACACGGCCCAGACUCCUACGGGAGGCAGCAGUGGGGAAUCUUGCGCAAUGGGCGAAAGCCUGACGCAGCGACGCCGCGUGAGGGAUGACGGCC
This 389-nucleotide ribosomal RNA is filed under the name uncultured bacterium. Its description in RNAcentral is "bacterial SSU rRNA". It matches the Rfam family "Bacterial small subunit ribosomal RNA", at positions 28 to 416 of the family's 1533-position model. The record is from RNAcentral.